UUCUAACAUCUCCGAGGCUUCAGGUGUGUGAGCGGAAGGGGACUGUAGGGACCCCUAUCCUAUUUUACAGCUGGAGAGAUUCUAUACACUCAUCACCAGGAGUCAAGUUCUAGAAGAAGAAAAUGGAAAAGAGAAGCGGGUUUUUGACUGGCGUUUUGCAAACCUCCCCAGAGUACAAGAACUCCUCCUUCUCAGCAGGAUGCCGUGGUAGACAGUUUCCAAAAUGGCAGCCCUCAACCAUUUUCCUGCUGGUGUUGGUAUGCUGCUUCUCACCUCUUGAAUCUGGGUGGCCCAUAGAGACUUGCUUGACUGAAAGAAUAUGGUGGGAGUGACAUCCUGGACUGUUAAGACUUGGUCAUGAGAACCUUGUGAUCUCUGUCUACGUGUCUUAGAACCUUCACUCCUGACACACUUCCUCUAGAAACCAGUCACCAUCCUGUAAGAAGUCCAGGCUACACAGAAAGGCCAGAGGUAGGUGCUCUUGUCAAGAACCCUAGCUGAGCUCUCCACCAGCAUUCACAUCACUGCCAGCUUGUGAGUGAGGAUCGCGUGGCUGUCUAGCUCAGUAGAGCCUUCAGAUGACUCUAACAGGAGCCACCAUUUGACUAACUGCAAGAGAUUCUGAGUGAGAGCCAGCCAGCUGAGCUCAAUCAGCAGGGGUGUAAGGGAUAGUAAUAAAUUAUUUUAAGUUGCUGAGUUUGAGGGUAGUCUGUUCCUUAGCGAUUGGUAAUUGAAUGGGGAUAAAAUGCUGAAGAGUGAAAAAGCUGGUUUAAAACUCAACGUUUAA
This is a long non-coding RNA of Odocoileus virginianus texanus, 787 nucleotides long. RefSeq lists it as uncharacterized. The record is from RefSeq and is a predicted model, not a curated record. Lineage: Eukaryota; Metazoa; Chordata; Mammalia; Artiodactyla; Cervidae.